CUCAUACCUGAAAACCAAGUGCAAAACAGUUCCUGGAGUCCACACACCCAUUUGAAUAAGGCCCCUGCCAUCAUUUCAGGGCUGUCUUGUGCCCCUUGUGAUUAUUUAAAAGUGGCAGCAUAGUGACGUAUGACGUAUGAUGCUCUUUUUCCUUUUUAAGAUUUUCCCUUCCUUUUUUUCAUGGUAAUUUACUGCUCAGUUGGAGAGAAGUGAAAAAAUUAUGAGGUGAGACUUUUCUGCCAGCAAUGACCCUCAGUAGCACUGUGUCCCAGGGAACAGUUUCCCCUUUGGCUGGCCACCCCGGCUAUAGACAGUAGUGGCCCCUCUCCAGGUGGGGUUUCUGAUGGCAUCCUAAAAGCAGUUGAAAAUAAAAUAAUAGUCCUUUUGCUUAACUUUUAUUCAUGAUUUAAUUUAAAACACUGCUACUUCCUUAAUAGCUUUUACCAAGACUUCAGAGGUUCAGGAUCAUCAGCACUGCCACAUCCUGUGUGGGGAUUUUAUGGAGCAGGAUGAGCAUUAGUGUUUCUUCCUCAGGUCUGGGAGGGUGGAGUACGGGAAAGGAGGAGGGAAUAUCAGAAUAGGUGUGUGGUUAAUAUUUUAGUGGUAUGUGUCAUCCGGAAAAAGACAAUUUCACUUAACUUCUGGGCAAAAACAUUAUGAAUUCAUUUUGAUGCAUGGGAGAUUGAGGUUUGGGACAUCGGUGGUAAUAUCAUAUCCGUGUUAUGAGCCAACAGCAAAUUACCAGCAUGGUGAUCAUAGCCCUAGGCUAAAGCACCUUAUAAUUAAGGAUGUGUGAGGUGAAUUGUGUCCGAAUCUGAUUACUUCCUAGAAUGCCCAAUGUGCAUUUACCAAAACAACAAAUGCGCAGAGCACGUGAACUGCAGAGGGGUAGAAUGUUUGCCAUCAACGAAGGCAGAAAAAUAGGGACUAAAAAGAAAUAAUGAGACCUGUCAAUUCUCAUCAGUCUUUCUUUUGUUCUACUCACUUCAUUCUGAAGUCUUCGGCAGCCAGUCUCGCGUUGUCAAUCUGCAGGAUGAGCUGGGCAUUUCCAAUGGUGGCGGAAAUGAUCUGGCCAAAGAGGGGGAGACACACAAAAUGAGGACGGAAAAUACUAGUAUUAUGCAGGGACAGGAAUGAUGAACCCAGGGUGAAAUCCAGUUACAACUUCCUUUUACCUUACGAUGGAAGGGACACAUGUGAAGAGAUGUAUUUCCCCCCCUCCUAUACACAUCACAAAGAGCAAGCCGGUGGGAUUUCCAAAUAAAGGGGUUUUAAGCAAGACAUUUGCAGAAACUACAUAUUCUUACAAUAAAUAUAGAAAAGAUGCAGUGAUCAAAUGCAGACUCUGCUUGAUGAGAGAGGCCAUAAUCCGUUGGUUUCAUUUCUUGAGAAAAUGGAAACGUGUUAAAUGGAAAUAACCAGGGGCCUCAGCCUCCUAUGGAAAUUGUUACCAAAGGUUCCUUUAAUCUGUAUUACAAGCACUUUGAAUGAGAUUGUCUUUGUUUGAAUCGUUGAUAGUGAUAGUGGGCUUACUACAUUCUAGACAGUGGGCCAGGUAAACUGCAGACGUUAUUUUUAACCUUUGUGGCAACCUCUUCAGUUGGACACUUUUGUCCCAUUUUACAAGGGAGCAAUCUGAGGGUCACGACGUCAAGUGACUUAUUCAAGGCCACAGAGCCAGGAGGUGGCAAAGACAGGAUUCAGGUUGCAGUGUGUUUUAUAGACAACAUAACCCUGCUUCUUAUGGUGAAAACAGAAAAGACAGAGGGUCACUCAGAGCCGCCAGCCAUGAGACUGGGUUUCUGCCCUGCACAUCAACCAGGGGCUUUCGCUCUUCUUUUCAAAAAAGCUUUCUCCUUGAAUUUCAUUUCUCAUUGUACAGGCUGAGACCGAAAGAAUGACACGAGACAUGAAAUCCUGCAAACGCGUGGGCAAAUGUCGUUUUAGUUAUUCUUUUGACAUGUAACUGCAUUGUCAGAGAUCAUAUAAAGUACUAGUUCAACUUGCACUUCCUGCACAGGAGCUUGAUGUUAUGGUCAUUAAUUUUUGCUUAUAAGCUGCUCCCCCCCAACCUGCCCCACCAAGGGGGAGUCCAUUGUGAUUGCCAUAGAAAUGAAAACAGUUUAUUACUUGCUUACAGACUGGAGGGAAUGUGCCAGAUGCAGACUUGUAACUUAGUGAUAUCAUCACGUGAUAUGGGAAUAUGAUUAACUUGAAUUCUUGAACUUGGAGCCGGUUUUGUCCUGACAUGUAUACUUUCCACCUCUAAUGCCUAUAUGUAAAUUUAAAACAAUUGUGCUCAAGUAUCUAUACUUGCCUUUUCUGGGAAGCAAAUCUUAGAAGUGAGUCUAGGGGAGAGAAAACAAAUGUUUGAAGGGAAAUUAAAAAAUAAAAAGCACUAGCUAAUACUUUAAGUUGGAAUUGUUAUUUGAGACUGUCCCCAAGUCAGUAAGGGUGAGAGCACAGGGAGAGCACUGGUCAUGUUUUGAUUUUAUGUCAUUCGAUGUCAUUCUUUCUAGAUGUUAUAAGGCUCUUAGUAGGUGUAAUCCCCCAAGUCCAUCCUAGCUUCCCCUCUGGGGUUUCUCUCGCAGUGUGAUGGGACCACUUCGGCACUGAUGGUUUCGUAUGAAGUCAUGAAAUUCCAAUGCGUGAUAAAGAGACCCAUAUUUAGGGACUACAGAUCUUCUCUGGAUCUGUAUGCCUGUCAGAAAUAGGGUCAUGCUGUUCCGUGUCCUAGCUGGUAUAAGAAGUAUAGAUAUGGAGAUUAACACUUCACCUUCACACAGUAACUACUGGAAGAACCAGAGGUAGAGCCAUCUGGUUCCACAUGUAUGUAGUGUUUCACUGCUUUCGAAAUUCGAAAGAUUGUUUGGAAGAAACUAGAGAUUGACCCAAAGGCAAGGAUUAGUUUUCAUUUUUAUGAUAGGAAAUUCAGUUAAUAGUAAUCCUAACUUUUGAACAAAGUAUCAUUAUUGCCUAGGGCCGUGGGCAAUAAUUGUCAUAUUGAUGAUGGUCAUGCCUAGUGAAUUUCAAUCCCCACCUCCUGUAGGGUUUUUACUAAUCAGACUCAGUUUCAGUAUUUGCAUGUCAAAGUUACAGACUAUUUUGGAAUGUGUUUCGGUAGGAGAAAAAGAAUUCACUGUUGUGUAAUUAAUUGCUUAUAAGGGUAUCAUGACUUCAGACAAACAGUCCUGAGGUUCAGUCUUGCUCCAUGACUUGGUAACUGUAACUUUGGGAGACUGAUUUCAUAUCUUCAUAUAUAAUCCUCGUUCAUAAAAUGGGGAUAAUAGAAUAAGGCCAACCCAUAUGAAAUUGCUAUUUUUUAAAGGUAAAAAAUGAUCACGUAUUGGCAAGAUCAUAUGAUUCAACUUAAUAACUUCUACUUCAUGGUGUCAGUGUGAGGAUUAAAUGAGAAAUGCAUAUAAAAUGCCAUGCAUACCGGUUUGCUCAUAGUAAGUGCUCAAUAAAUGGUAGAUACUAUUAUCUGUAAGCAAAUCACAUUAUUAUUUUCAAUAUCAUCACACUCAAAAUCCUGUUUACUUACAAACUUAUGUAUCAAAAUUUAAAUCCAAGCUGUUCAUUUACUAGAAUAUGACGAGAGAGGGCAAAAUGAUUUUUCCUGUAAACAUUUGCAAGGCAGUUACUGCUUCCUGAAAUGCAAAAUGGGUGAGAAUACAGUAUGUAUCUUUUUGGGUCUGACUUCCCUCAGCAUAGUGUCUUCAAGGUUCAUCUCUUUGCACUGUGUAUAAGUUGCCAAAUAAUAUUCUGUUGUGGGACCUACUGCAUUUUGUUUAUCCAUCGAUCAGCGCCCCAACAUUUGAGUUGUUUCUACUUUGGGCUUAUGGAUAAUGCUGCUACAAACAUUUCUGUACAAAAGAACAAAUUAUUUGAUUCCAUUUAUUUGAAAUGUCCAGAGUAAGCAAAUCCAUAGAAGUGGAUUUGGUUGCCAAAACUGGGGGGAAGAGAAGUGGGGGGUGACUCCUACUGGGGUUUCUUUUCUUUUGUUUAAUGUUUAUUUUGAGAGACACACACAGAGAGAGGUAGAGAGAGAGGGAGAGAGAGAAUCCAAAGCAGGCUCUGUGCUGAGGGGCUUGAUCCCAUGACCCUGAGAUCAUGACCUUAGCCAAAAUGCAGAGUCUGACGCUUAAUGAACUGUGCCACCAGGCACUUCUGGGGUUUCUUUUCUGAAUGAUGAAAAUGUCCUAAAACUAGACAGUAAUGAUGGUUGCACAAUCCUGUGAACAUCCUGAAGACCACUGAAUUGUGUACUUUAUGAGGAUGAAUUUUAUGGUGUAUGAAUUUUAUCUCAUUAAGGCUAUUAUUUAAAAAAAAUAGUGAGAAAUAUUUCAUAACAUACAUUCACCCCAUAAAGAAAGAGAACACCUGAUGAUUU
This is a long non-coding RNA of Neofelis nebulosa (Clouded leopard), 4393 nucleotides long. RefSeq lists it as uncharacterized. NCBI's taxonomy places the organism in Eukaryota, Metazoa, Chordata, Mammalia, Carnivora, Felidae. The record is from RefSeq and is a predicted model, not a curated record. The transcript is spliced from 3 exons.